Molecule: ribosomal RNA, 477 nt
Filed under: Vairimorpha ceranae
Lineage: Eukaryota; Fungi; Microsporidia; Nosematidae
Description: SSU rRNA
Rfam family: Microsporidia small subunit ribosomal RNA
Source: RNAcentral
GUAUAUGAGGUGAUUAAUUGGAGGGCAAAUCGAGUGCCAGCAGCCGCGGUAAUACUUGUUCCAAGAGUGUGUAUGAUGAUUGAUGCAGUUAAAAAGUCCGUAGUUUAUUAUUAAGAAGCAAUAUGAGGUGUACUGUAUAGUUGGGAAAGAGAUGAAUUGUGACGACCCUGACUGGACGAACUGAAGCGAAAGCUGUACACUUGUAUGUAUUUUUGAACAAGGACGUAAGCUGGAGGAUCGAAGAUGAUUAGAUACCAUUGCAGUUCCAGCAGUAAACUAUGCCGACGAUGUGAUAUGAGAUGUUGUAUUACAUUAUAGAAAUUAGAGUUUUUGGCUCUGGGGAUAGUAUGAUCGCAAGAUUGAAAAUUAAAGAAAUUGACGGAAGAAUACCACAAGGAGUGGAUUGUGCGGCUUAAUUUGACUCAACGCGAGGUAACUUACCAAUAUUUUAUUGUUCGGCGAGGAUAUGAUCUGAGG